AUGGAGAUGCAUAUAAAUGGGAAGAUGGGGCCAAGAGAUUGGGACAAGGGGAAGUUGGUUAUCCCGCAGGAGGGAGCUGAACAGCCCAUAUUGCAUGUGGAGACCCAAGUCAAGCCGACAUGCAAGUGGAGUCCCCUGCCGGUGAGCUGGACGAAACUCAAUGUAGAUGACUCCUUCAAUCCUGGCGACGGGAUGGCAGGCACGGGAAUGGUGCUGUGGGACCACAAUGGCAACGUCAUCUUUUCAGCGUGCAGGUCUUUGUGGUCGUGCCCGGAUGCCCUUCAUGCAGAGCUUGCGGGAUGCAUGGAUGGGCUGGCUCUAGCGCACCCGUGGACGAACCUUCCACUUAUCUUGAGAUGUUAUAGCCUUAAUGCAGUCCAGUUGAUCAAUGCUAGGAGCAAGGAUCGGUCACAAUAUGCCAUGGUCAUUUCGGAGCUGAAGAGGUUGAUGGAGGACCGAACUGUGGUCUGGUUACGUUCGGGCCGCUACACAUUUCUAGUUUCUGUAGGGAUGAAUCUUCAGGCUCUUGAGUAA
This 534-nucleotide ribosomal RNA is filed under the name Triticum aestivum (bread wheat). Its description in RNAcentral is "partial small subunit ribosomal RNA". The record is from RNAcentral. Lineage: Eukaryota; Viridiplantae; Streptophyta; Magnoliopsida; Poales; Poaceae.